RNAcentral lists this ribosomal RNA (486 nucleotides) under uncultured bacterium. RNAcentral's name for it is "bacterial SSU rRNA". It matches the Rfam family "Bacterial small subunit ribosomal RNA", at positions 903 to 1397 of the family's 1533-position model. The record is from RNAcentral.
AAAGGAAUAGACGGGGACCCGCACAACCAGUGGAGCGUGUGGUUCAAUUCGAGACAAAGCGAAGAACCUCACCAGGGUUUGACAUGCUACCGUACAGUCCUGCAGAAAUGCGGGAUAAUCCGCAAGGAUGGUAGCACAGGUGCUGCAUGGUUGUCGUCAGCUCGUGCCGUGAGGUGUUCCCUUAAGUGGGGAAACGAGUGCAACCCUUGUCCUGUGUUAAAUUGUUCACAGGAGACUGCCCCGUUUUUGCGGGGAGGAAGGAGAGGCGGACGUCAAAUCAGCAUGGCCCUUAUACCCUGGGCUACACACACCCUACAAUGGCGAAGAACAAUGAGUCGCAAGCUCGCGAGGGCAAGCUAAUCUCUGAAAUUUCGCCCCAGUUCAGAUUGGAGUCUGCAAUUCGACUCCAUGAAGGAGGAAUUGGUAGUAAUCGCGCAUCAGAAGGGCGCGGUGAAUACGUUCUCGGGUCUUGUACACACCGCCCGU